UACGAAGGGGGCUAGCGUUGCUCGGAAUUACUGGGCGUAAAGCGCACGUAGGCGGAUUCUUAAGUCAGGGGUGAAAUCCCGGAGCUCAACUCCGGAACUGCCUUUGAUACUGGGAAUCUUGAGUUCGGGAGAGGUGAGUGGAACUGCGAGUGUAGAGGUGAAAUUCGUAGAUAUUCGCAAGAACACCAGUGGCGAAGGCGGCUCACUGGCCCGAUACUGACGCUGAGGUGCGAAAGCGUGGGGAGCAAACAGG
This 253-nucleotide ribosomal RNA is filed under the name uncultured bacterium. Its description in RNAcentral is "partial 16S ribosomal RNA". It matches the Rfam family "Bacterial small subunit ribosomal RNA", at positions 524 to 776 of the family's 1533-position model. The record is from RNAcentral.